RNAcentral lists this ribosomal RNA (468 nucleotides) under uncultured bacterium. RNAcentral describes it as "partial 16S ribosomal RNA". It matches the Rfam family "Bacterial small subunit ribosomal RNA", at positions 28 to 507 of the family's 1533-position model. The record is from RNAcentral.
GACGAACGCUGGCGGCGUGCUUAACACAUGCAAGUCGAACGGAAAGGCCCUGCUUUUGUGGGGUGCUCGAGUGGCGAACGGGUGAGUAACACGUGAGUAACCUGCCCUUGACUUUGGGAUAACUUCAGGAAACUGGGGCUAAUACCGGAUAGGAGCUCCUGCUGCAUGGUGGGGGUUGGAAAGUUUCGGCGGUUGGGGAUGGACUCGCGGCUUAUCAGCUUGUUGGUGGGGUAGUGGCUUACCAAGGCUUUGACGGGUAGCCGGCCUGAGAGGGUGACCGGCCACCAUGGGACUGAGAUACGGCCCAGAGUCCUACGGGAGGCAGCAGUGGGGAAUAUUGCACAAUGGGCGGACGCCUGAUGCAGCAACGCCGCGUGCGGGAUGACGGCCUUCGGGUUGUAAACCGCUUUCGCCUGUGACGAAGCGUGAGUGACGGUAAUGGGUAAAGAAGCACCGGCUAACUACGUG